GGAAGGGUGUCGCGGCCCGGUGGUCCGGUCAGACUUCAAAUCUGAUAGGGGUUGCCAGCAAUCCCUGGUGGGUUCGACUCCCAUACCCUUCCGCCA
RNAcentral lists this transfer RNA (96 nucleotides) under beta proteobacterium MWH-UniP1. Its description in RNAcentral is "tRNA-Sec". It matches the Rfam family "Selenocysteine transfer RNA". Lineage: Bacteria; Pseudomonadati; Pseudomonadota; Betaproteobacteria. The record is from RNAcentral. RNAcentral also lists the same sequence under 4 other names.